AUACGUAGGGUGCGAGCGUUGUCCGGAAUUACUGGGCGUAAAGAGCUCGUAGGUGGUUUGUCGCGUCGUCUGUGAAAUUCCGGGGCUUAACUCCGGGCGUGCAGGCGAUACGGGCAUAACUUGAGUACUGUAGGGGAGACUGGAAUUCCUGGUGUAGCGGUGAAAUGCGCAGAUAUCAGGAGGAACACCGGUGGCGAAGGCGGGUCUCUGGGCAGUAACUGACGCUGAGGAGCGAAAGCAUGGGUAGCGAACAGGAUUAGAUACCCUGGUAGUCCAUGCCGUAAACGGUGGGCGCUAGGUGUAGGGGUCUUCCACGACUUCUGUGCCGUAGCUAACGCAUUAAGCGCCCGGCCUGGGGAGUACGGCCGCAAGGCUAAAACUCAAAGGAAUUGGCGGGG
RNAcentral lists this ribosomal RNA (398 nucleotides) under uncultured bacterium. Its description in RNAcentral is "partial 16S ribosomal RNA". It matches the Rfam family "Bacterial small subunit ribosomal RNA", at positions 523 to 918 of the family's 1533-position model. The record is from RNAcentral.